UACGUAGGGUGCGAGCGUUAAUCGGAAUUACUGGGCGUAAAGCGUGCGCAGGCGGUCUGUUAAGACCGAUGUGAAAUCCCCGGGCUUAACCUGGGAACUGCAUUGGUGACUGGCAGGCUUUGAGUGUGGCAGAGGGAGGUAGAAUUCCACGUGUAGCAGUGAAAUGCGUAGAGAUGUGGAGGAAUACCGAUGGCGAAGGCAGCCUUCUGGGCCAACACUGACGCUCAUGCACGAAAGCGUGGGGAGCAAACAGG
This 254-nucleotide ribosomal RNA is filed under the name uncultured bacterium. Its description in RNAcentral is "partial 16S ribosomal RNA". It matches the Rfam family "Bacterial small subunit ribosomal RNA", at positions 524 to 776 of the family's 1533-position model. The record is from RNAcentral.